AAGAUCAUACUUCACAGGAUCAUUUCUGUAGUAUAUCUUCACAUACUCCACAUUCAAAUGUGGAGUUGACGCAGCCACGAUGACGAGUGACAGUUUCGUGUC
Zophobas morio is the source of this 102-nucleotide small nucleolar RNA. RefSeq annotates it as small nucleolar RNA U3. Lineage: Eukaryota; Metazoa; Arthropoda; Insecta; Coleoptera; Tenebrionidae. The record is from RefSeq and is a predicted model, not a curated record. The transcript has a single exon.